Molecule: ribosomal RNA, 1234 nt
Filed under: Lachesilla punctata
Lineage: Eukaryota; Metazoa; Arthropoda; Insecta; Psocodea; Lachesillidae
Description: 16S ribosomal RNA
Rfam family: Archaeal large subunit ribosomal RNA (bases 832-1176)
Source: RNAcentral
UUGUAAAAUUUUUUUGAUUGGGGAUUGUUAUUUAUGUUGGUGAAAAUGGUUAUUAAGUUAAAUAUUAUUUUUUUUAGUAGAAUUUUAAAAAAUUAGGUUUAUUAUAAAGUAAAGUAUUGAAAAAGAAUUUAAUUUAAAAAAGUAAAAGUUAAAUUGAAGUUUGUACCUUUUGUAUCAGGGUUUAAAGAAAAAUGAUUGGAUAAACGAAUCUCGAAAAAUUAAGAUUUAAGUUUUUAGUAUUGUUAACGUGUCAAAGUUAAUAUUAAAUAAAAAUUUGGGAAUGAAAAGUUAGUCGGUUAAUAGUGUUUCUAGUUUUUAAAAAAAUUAAUUUAAUUAAGUUUUGAUGGGUUUAUUAUUUAUUUAUUAUAAAGAAAUCAAAAGAAAAUUAUGAAGAGUUUAGUUUUUAUAAUGUUUAUAUACAAAUAAAUGAAAUAUUUUUUUUAGAAUUAUUAUUGUUUAAAAUUAUUAAUUUUUAAAAAAGAAAAUUUUUUUAUAAUGAGAUUUAUUUGGAAUUAAAAGUUUAUUUAAGUUAUGGAUUAAAGAAAUAAAUCCAAGGAAAAAUUUUAAAAUUAGUAAACUUUACAAGUGUAAUAUUGGAAUUCGGCAAAAUUAGUUUUCGCUUGUUUAUCAAAAACAUGUCUUUAAGGAAUAUUUAUUUAAAGUCCAGUCUGCUCACUGAUAAUUUAAAGAGCUGCAGUAUAUUGACUGUACAAAGGUAGCAUAAUCAAUAGUUUUUUAAUUGAAAACUGGAAUGAACGAUUAGACGAGAAAUUAACUUUCUUUAUAACAAAAAGUUGAAUUUAAAUUUUGAGUGAAAAUGCUCAAAUGAUUUUAAAAGACGAGAAGACCCUAUAGAUUUUUAUUAAUUUAUUAAUAAUUUGUUUUAUUAAGAAUUAAUUUGAUUGGGGUGAUCUUGUAAUAUAAAAAACUUAAAGUUAUUUAACCAAAAAUAAUUGAAUUUUUUGAUCCAAAAGUUUUGAUAAAAAAAUAAAUUACCUUAGGGAUAACAGCGUAAUUUUAUUUAAGAGUUCAUAUCUAUAAUAAAGAUUGCGACCUCGAUGUUGAAUUAAGAGUUUCACUGGGGCAGAAAUUGGUGUUAAAUAGUCUGUUCGACUAUUAAAUUCUUACAUGAUUUGAGUUCAGACCGGCGUGAGCCAGGUCAGUUUCUAUCUUUAAAUUAAUUUCAUAACUGGGUACGAAAGGACAAUUUAUGAAUAAUAUUUAUUUAGUUUUA